Tigriopus californicus is the source of this 306-nucleotide long non-coding RNA. RefSeq lists it as uncharacterized. The transcript has 2 exons. Lineage: Eukaryota; Metazoa; Arthropoda; Copepoda; Harpacticoida; Harpacticidae. The record is from RefSeq and is a predicted model, not a curated record.
CCGUCAGCGUUAAAAAGAAGAACUUGUUAUUUGAGAGUCCAGGAUUGAAAAAAAGACGUUUUGAAUGGACGAAGACGCAAUUGCAAACCGAUUUUUUCCAAUUCAAGAGAUUCAUCAAUUUUGAGAAUCAAGAAUAAAAGGUGGAAAGUUUGUGUAUCAAAAUGAGAAGGAAAAAUGGUGCUGAACGUGAAAUUUCUUGAUGUCGUGGAAUUCAAGAGAAGCUUGGCAUGGAAUAUUCAUUGAUGAACCUGGACUUGAUUGUCACUUUUUUAUUCUCGUUUUUUUAGAAAUAUAUGAGCGAUUGGA